RNAcentral lists this ribosomal RNA (497 nucleotides) under uncultured bacterium. RNAcentral describes it as "partial 16S ribosomal RNA". It matches the Rfam family "Bacterial small subunit ribosomal RNA", at positions 28 to 507 of the family's 1533-position model. The record is from RNAcentral.
GAUGAACGCUGGCGGCGUGCCUAAUACAUGCAAGUCGAGCGAACAGACGAGGAGCUUGCUCCUCUGACGUUAGCGGCGGACGGGUGAGUAACACGUGGAUAACCUACCUAUAAGACUGGGAUCACUUCGGGAAACCGGAGCUAAUACCGGAUAAUAUAUUGAACCGCAUGGUUCAAUAGUGAAAGACGGUUUUGCUGUCACUUAUAGAUGGAUCCGCGCCGCAUUAGCUAGUUGGUAAGGUAACGGCUUACCAAGGCAACGAUGCGUAGCCGACCUGAGAGGGUGGUCGGCCACACUGGAACUGAGACACGGUCCAGACUCCUACGAGAGGCAGCAGUAGGGAAUCUUCCGCAAUGGGCGGAAGCCUGACGGAGCAACGCCGCGUGAGUGAUGAAGGUCUUCGGAUCGUAAAACUCUGUUAUUAGGGAAGAACAAAUGUGUAAGUAACUAUACACGUCUUGACGGUACCUAGUCAGAAAGCCACGGCUAACUACGUG